GGAACAACAUCGGUUGUCCUUGCUGGAUUAGUUGCAGCUCUGAAAUUGGUUGGUGGUAAUUUAACUGAUCACAGAUUCUUGUUUCUUGGUGCUGGAGAGGCUGGCACUGGAAUAACAGAGCUCAUAGCACUUGAAACAUCAAAACAGACAAAUGCUCCACUGGAGGAAGUGCACAAGAAUAUUUGGUUGGUGGACUCAAAGGGAUUGAUUGUUAGCUCCCGCAAAGAUUCACUCCAACAUUUCAAGUAGCCCUGGGCUCAUGAGCAUGAACCUGUUAACAAUCUUUUAGAUGCUUUUAAU
Long non-coding RNA from Vigna angularis (adzuki bean), 300 nucleotides. RefSeq lists it as uncharacterized. The record is from RefSeq and is a predicted model, not a curated record. NCBI's taxonomy places the organism in Eukaryota, Viridiplantae, Streptophyta, Magnoliopsida, Fabales, Fabaceae. The transcript is spliced from 4 exons.